GACAUUUAUAAAAUCAGUCUUCUGUCCUCAGGUCAACAACAAGCUCAGCUCAAAGCACAGGACAACAACUGAAACCAGCGUCAUUCUCUGACUCUCUAGAUCUCAGCAGGAACAAUGGCGAACAAUGGUAGUACCGAGAACAUACGCAUGGGCUCCAACACAGGGAACGUUGGUUCUGAUAAUGCCUUCGACAUUAAAGGAUGUGUUGGACCCAAUGCUGCUGUGGGCAACACCUCUGGCAUCGGAGGAAAUAAUGCAGGAAGCAUUGGAUCAGAUAUGAUAU
Molecule: long non-coding RNA, 283 nt
Organism: Sander lucioperca (pikeperch)
Lineage: Eukaryota; Metazoa; Chordata; Actinopteri; Perciformes; Percidae
Exons: 3
Source: RefSeq, a predicted model, not a curated record